UACGGAGGAUGCAAGUGUUAUCCGGAUUCAUUGGGUUUAAAGGGUGCGCAGGUUGGUUUUUAAGUCAGAGGUGAAAUGCUGCCGCUUAACGGUAGAAUUGUUAUUGAUAUUGACACCCUUGAAUAUGGUUGAUGCACUUGGAAUGUGUUGUGUAUCGAUGAAAUGCAUACCAUAUGACACAGAACACCGAUUGCGAAGGCAGCUUACUAAACCAUUUAUUGACGCUGAGGCACGAAAGCGUGGGGAGCGAACAGGAUUAGAUACCCUGGUAGUCCACGCUGUAAACGAUGUUCACUCGCUGUCUGCGAUACACAGUAGGCGGCUGAGCGAAAGCAUUAAGUGAACCACCUGGGGAGUACGAUCGCAAGGUUGAAACUCAAAGGAAUUGACGGGGGCCCGCACAAGCGGAGGAACAUGUGGUUUAAUUCGAUGAUACGCGAGGAACCUUACCUGGGCUUAAAUGUAGAUUGCAUGGGGUAGAAAUAUCCCUUCCCUUCGGGGCUAUUUACAAGGUGCUGCAUGGUUGUCGUCAGCUCGUGCCGUGAGGUGUCGGGUUAAGUCCCAUAACGAGCGCAACCCUUACCGUUAGUUGCCAUCGGGUCAAGCCGGGGACUCUAGCGGGACUGCCACCGUAAGGUGAGAGGAAGGUGGGGAUGAUGUCAAAUCAGCACGGCCCUUAUGUCCAGGGCUACACACGUGUUACAAUGGCAGGUACAAAGGGCAGCUACCGGGUGACCGGAUGCUAAUCCCAAAAGCCUGUCCCAGUUCGGAUUGGAGUCUGCAACCCGACUCCAUGAAGUUGGAUUCGCUAGUAAUCGCGCAUCAGCCAUGGCGCGGUGAAUACGUUUCCGGGCCU
This 856-nucleotide ribosomal RNA is filed under the name uncultured bacterium. RNAcentral describes it as "SSU rRNA". It matches the Rfam family "Bacterial small subunit ribosomal RNA", at positions 524 to 1381 of the family's 1533-position model. The record is from RNAcentral.